UCGGGAACCAGGUGUCCAGGGGACAACUCCUGAGCCUCUUGGGAGAGAUGAGCCCAGAGAAUGGUUCUAGAUUUCUUCUGGGCUUUGCACAGAGGGUGGAGGGGAAAGGGCCGGUCCUGACCUGCAAAGAGUGGAGACAGGAGAGAGACCCACCUUCCAGCUUCUGUGUCUACUGUCGUGGGUGCUCCAGCGUGGAGACGGGUCUGAGGCCAAGCAUCUCACAGCACCAUUCUUCCUCCCUGGAGCACCAGGGAAGGAACUGGAAAUGAGGCUGG
Lemur catta (Ring-tailed lemur) is the source of this 275-nucleotide long non-coding RNA. RefSeq lists it as uncharacterized. The record is from RefSeq and is a predicted model, not a curated record. The transcript is spliced from 4 exons. NCBI's taxonomy places the organism in Eukaryota, Metazoa, Chordata, Mammalia, Primates, Lemuridae.